This 502-nucleotide ribosomal RNA is filed under the name uncultured bacterium. RNAcentral describes it as "bacterial SSU rRNA". It matches the Rfam family "Bacterial small subunit ribosomal RNA", at positions 903 to 1397 of the family's 1533-position model. The record is from RNAcentral.
AAAGGAAUUGACGGGGGCCCGCACAAGCGGAGGAGCAUGUGGCUUAAUUCGAUGCAACGCGAAGAACCUUACCAGGGCUUGACAUGUAACUGCAAGUCCCGUGAAAGCGGGAUGCCUUCGAGGGUGUUACACAGGUGCUGCAUGGCUGUCGUCAGUUCGUGCCGUGAGGUGUUGGGUUAAGUCCCGCAACGAACGCAACCCUUAUGUUUAGUUGCCACUACUGGUGAUGAAUCAGUAAGCACUCUAGACAGACUGCCUGUUUCAAAUAGGAGGAAGGUGGGGAUGACGUCAAGUCAGUAUGGCCCUUAUGCCCUGGGCUGCACACGUGCUACAAUGGUCGGUACAGAGGGUUGCGAGAUCGCAAGAUUGAGCUAAUCCCCAAAAACCGGCCUCAGUUCGGAUUGGAGUCUGCAAUUCGACUCCAUGAAGUCGGAUUCGCUAGUAAUGGCGCAUCAGCUACGGCGCCGUGAAUACGUUCCCGGGCCUUGUACACACCGCCCGU